UGGCGAAAGCCGCGUGGAGGAUCGUUAGAGAUGUUGAUAUGCAAAUCGCUCUCGUGACCUGCGUCUAGGGGUGAAAGUCCAAUCGAGGUCGGGAAUAGCUGGUUCCUCCCGAAACAUGUCGCAGCAUGACCUGGUCUGAGAUGGUCGGCGAAGUAGAGCACUGAUUGGGGAAGCCGGACCCGAAAGGGUCUGUUCUCUUGUCAAACUCCCAAAUCGCCGUCGUCGUAGAAGACCAGCAGUCCGGGCUGGGGGGUAAGCUUCUAGUCCGUGAGGGAGACAACCCAGACCGUGGUUAAGGUCCCAAAAUGUCGGCCAAGUGUCAACACUUAAGGGUGUCUUGGGUCAUAAACAACUGGGAGGUUAGCUUAGAAGCAGCUACCCUUUAAAGAGUGCGUAACAGCUCACCAGUCGAGAUCCAAGGCCCCGAAAAUGGACGGGGCUAAGCCGACUACCGAUACCACGGAGCACAGCAAUGUGAUCUGGUAGGGAGGCGCUCUGCGUGGGCAGAAGCAUCUGCGUGAGCAGGUGUGGACCGCAGCAGAGACGAAAAUCCUGGUAGCAGUAGCAGCAAAGUCGGGUGAGAAUCCCGAUCGCCGUAAGGGCCAGGGUUCCUCGGCAAUGUUCGUCAGCCGAGGGUCAGUCGGUCCUAAGACGUACCCUAAUCAGAGUACGCCAAAUGGGAAACAGGUUAAUAUCCCUGUACCUUUCAGCAUUAAAACCGACGCUUCCGGAUAUGUCGAGCAUCUUCGCCAGGAUGUUCAAGCGCCUAAGUUUGCGGAGAGCCGUAAUGGCGAGAAACAAACGAAUGCGUGAUAACGUAAGUCGGCAAAUUCCAGGAGUCCGUGAAAAGGGAGCUGAAAGUCCGUACCGAGAACCAACACUGGUGCCCCAAGCUGAGAAGGCUAAGGCGUGUCGGCAUAUGUUAGCUAAGGGAAUUCGGCAAGUUAGCCACGUAACUUCGGGAUAAGUGGUGCCUGCUUCGAAAGAAGCAGGUCGCAGCGACUAGGGGGCUCUGACUGUCUAAUAACAACAUAGGUGAUUGCGAAUCCGUAAGGACUAGUACAAUCACUGAAUCCUGCCCAGUGCAGGUACCUGAAAACCCGGUUCAACGGGAAGAAGGGCCUGUCAACGGCGGGGGUAACUAUGACCCUCUUAAGGUAGCGUAGUACCUUGCCGCUUAAUUGGCGGCUUGCAUGAAUGGAUCAACGAGAGCCCUACUGUCCCUAGCUGAUACCCGGUGAACCUUACAUCCCAGUGCAGAGUCUGGGGACCCCUAAUGGGAAGUGAAGACCCCGUGGAGCUUUACUGCAGCCUGCCGCUGGGUUGUGGUUCUGAUUGUAGAGCAUAGGUAGGAGACGUCGAAGCCAGGGCGCCAGUCCUGGUGGAGUCGACCUUGGAAUACUACCCUUUCGGAGCUACGACCCUAACACUGAGAAGUGGACCCCGGUAGGCGGGCAGUUUGGGUGGGGCGCCACGCCCUAGAAAAGAUAUCUAGGGCGCCCUAAGGUCGACUCAGUUGGGUCGGAAACCCAACAAAGAGUGUAAAGGCAUAAGUCGGCCUGAUGUUACUCCCAACAGCAAGGAGUGACAAGACGAAAGUCGGGCUUAGCGAACCUCUCAGCCCCCUUGGUGGGGGCGUUAGAUGACAGAAAAGCUACCCCGGGGAUAACAGAGUCGUCACCGGCAAGAGCACAUAUCGACCCGGUGGCUUGCUACCUCGAUGUCGGUUCUUUCCAUCCUGGCCGUGCAGCAGCGGCCAAGGGUGAGGUUGUUCGCCUAUUAAAGGAGAUCGUGAGCUGGGUUUAGACCGUCGUGAGACAGGUCGGUUACUAUCUGUUAGGGGUGUCUUGCGGUCUGAGGGCAGGUUGGCUUUAGUACGAGAGGAACAAGCCAACGACGCCUCUGGUCUAUCGGCUGUCUGGCAAGGCAAAGCCGAGCAGCUACGCGUUCGCGGAUAAGGGCUGAAAGCAUCUAAGCCCGAAACCGUACCUGAAAAUAGACCGCUUAGGAUACUUGU
This 2017-nucleotide ribosomal RNA is filed under the name sediment metagenome. Its description in RNAcentral is "bacterial LSU rRNA". It matches the Rfam family "Archaeal large subunit ribosomal RNA", at positions 829 to 2896 of the family's 2987-position model. The record is from RNAcentral.